CUCAGGACGAACGCUGGCGGCGUGCCUAAUACAUGCAAGUCGAGCGGACAGAUGGGAGCUUGCUCCCUGAUGUUAGCGGCGGACGGGUGAGUAACACGUGGGUAACCUGCCUGUAAGACUGGGAUAACUCCGGGAAACCGGGGCUAAUACCGGAUGGUUGUUUGAACCGCAUGGUUCAAACAUAAAAGGUGGCUUCGGCUACCACUUACAGAUGGACCCGCGGCGCAUUAGCUAGUUGGUGAGGUAACGGCUCACCAAGGCGACGAUGCGUAGCCGACCUGAGAGGGUGAUCGGCCACACUGGGACUGAGACACGGCCCAGACUCCUACGGGAGGCAGCAGUAGGGAAUCUUCCGCAAUGGACGAAAGUCUGACGGAGCAACGCCGCGUGAGUGAUGAAGGUUUUCGGAUCGUAAAGCUCUGUUGUUAGGGAAGAACAAGUACCGUUCGAAUAGGGCGGUACCUUGACGGUACCUAACCAGAAAGCCACGGCUAACUACGUGCCAGCAGCCGCGGUAAUACGUAGGUGGCAAGCGUUGUCCGGAAUUAUUGGGCGUAAAGGGCUCGCAGGCGGUUUCUUAAGUCUGAUGUGAAAGCCCCCGGCUCAACCGGGGAGGGUCAUUGGAAACUGGGGAACUUGAGUGCAGAAGAGGAGAGUGGAAUUCCACGUGUAGCGGUGAAAUGCGUAGAGAUGUGGAGGAACACCAGUGGCGAAGGCGACUCUCUGGUCUGUAACUGACGCUGAG
RNAcentral lists this ribosomal RNA (745 nucleotides) under Bacillus subtilis. RNAcentral's name for it is "bacterial SSU rRNA". It matches the Rfam family "Bacterial small subunit ribosomal RNA", at positions 23 to 750 of the family's 1533-position model. The record is from RNAcentral. Lineage: Bacteria; Bacillati; Bacillota; Bacilli; Caryophanales; Bacillaceae.